AACGUCUGUCACUGAUCUCUCCCAUCCCCUGGAGCGAUCUCCCCCGGAGCGACGACCCCUCCCCAGGUCCCGCUCCCCUGGCCCCGCCGACCUCCCCCUGGUCUGCGGGGCUUUUUA
This is a small RNA of Pseudoxanthomonas sp. Root65, 117 nucleotides long. It matches the Rfam family "Xanthomonadaceae sRNA sX13". NCBI's taxonomy places the organism in Bacteria, Pseudomonadati, Pseudomonadota, Gammaproteobacteria, Lysobacterales, Lysobacteraceae. The record is from Rfam.